Small nucleolar RNA from Octodon degus (degu), 76 nucleotides. RefSeq annotates it as small nucleolar RNA SNORD19. The transcript has a single exon. NCBI's taxonomy places the organism in Eukaryota, Metazoa, Chordata, Mammalia, Rodentia, Octodontidae. The record is from RefSeq and is a predicted model, not a curated record.
GAGGUACGAGGAAAACAUCUGAAUCAGCCUGAAUGUAACUGGGACUGAUCAGACCCAGCUCUGCCUCAGAAAGUUA